This 251-nucleotide ribosomal RNA is filed under the name uncultured Bacillota bacterium. RNAcentral describes it as "uncultured Firmicutes bacterium partial 16S ribosomal RNA". It matches the Rfam family "Bacterial small subunit ribosomal RNA", at positions 180 to 424 of the family's 1533-position model. Lineage: Bacteria; Bacillati; Bacillota. The record is from RNAcentral.
ACUAGAUCGGCAUCGAACUAGUAUUAAAGGAGCGAAUGCUCCGCUACUGGAUGGACUCGCGGUGCAUUAGCUAGUUGGUGAGGUAGAGGCUCACCAAGGCGAUGAUACAUAGCCGACCUGAGAGGGUGAACGGCCACAUUGGGACUGAGACACGGCCCAGACUCCUACGGGAGGCAGCAGUAGGGGAAUUUUCGUCAAUGGGGGAAACCCUGAACGAGCAAUGCCGCGUGAGUGAAGAAGGAUUUCGGUCU